AUUAUUUUCACAUCAUUGCAUUCUAUUUGCAUUUUAUGCAGCGUCACAACUAUUUCAGAAACAGGUUUGUAGAUCCUGGAAGUUGCUAACGGGCCAAACCCAGCAGGUGAGGACAGAUGAAUACUCCCCCAUGCUGGUAACACAGGGCCCUCCCAGCAGGUGAGGACAGAUGAAUACUCCCCCAUGCUGGUAACACAGGGCCCUCCCAGGGGGUGAGGACAGAUGAAUACUCCCCCAUGCUGGUAACACAGGGCCCUCCCAGGGGGUGAGGACAGAUAAAUACUCCCCCAUGCUGUUAACACAGGGCCAAUCAGCCGAUCAUAAUUCAUGAGGUUUUUAG
This is a long non-coding RNA of Esox lucius (northern pike), 340 nucleotides long. NCBI's taxonomy places the organism in Eukaryota, Metazoa, Chordata, Actinopteri, Esociformes, Esocidae. The record is from Ensembl.